RNAcentral lists this ribosomal RNA (764 nucleotides) under uncultured haloarchaeon. RNAcentral describes it as "bacterial SSU rRNA". It matches the Rfam family "Archaeal small subunit ribosomal RNA", at positions 110 to 873 of the family's 1478-position model. Lineage: Archaea; Methanobacteriati; Methanobacteriota; Halobacteria; Halobacteriales; Halobacteriaceae. The record is from RNAcentral.
UACCCUGUGGACGGGAAUAACCUCGGGAAACUGAGGCUAAUGCCCGAUACAGCUCCCGCCCUGGAAUGGUGGGAGCUGGAAACGUUCCGGCGCCACAGGAUGUGGCUGCGGCCGAUUAGGUAGACGGUGGGGUAACGGCCCACCGUGCCGAUAAUCGGUACGGGUCAUGAGAGUGAGAGCCCGGAGACGGUAUCUGAGACAAGAUACCGGGCCCUACGGGGCGCAGCAGGCGCGAAACCUUUACACUGCACGACAGUGCGAUAGGGGGACUCCGAGUGCGAGGGCAUACUGUCCUCGCUUUUCUGUACCGUAAGGUGGUACAGGAACAAGUGCUGGGCAAGACCGGUGCCAGCCGCCGCGGUAAUACCGGCAGCACGAGUGAUGGCCAAUCUUAUUGGGCCUAAAGCGUCCGUAGCCGGCCAGACAAGUCCGUUGGGAAAUCGGCGCGCUCAACGCGUCGGCGUCCAGCGGAAACUGUUUGGCUUGGGGCCAGAGGACCUGAGGGGUACGUCCGGGGUAGGAGUGAAAUCCCGUAAUCCUGGACGGACCACCGGUGGCGAAAGCGCCUCAGGAGGACGGACCCGACGGUGAGGGACGAAAGCUAGGGUCUCGAACCGGAUUAGAUACCCGGGUAGUCCUAGCUGUAAACGAUGCUCGCUAGGUGUGGCGCAGGCUACGAGCCUGCGCUGUGCCGUAGGGAAGCCGUGAAGCGAGCCGCCUGGGAAGUACGUCUGCAAGGAUGAAACUUAAAGGAAUUGGCGGGG